This 82-nucleotide small RNA is filed under the name Lacticaseibacillus paracasei. RNAcentral's name for it is "Lactobacillus paracasei mraW". The record is from RNAcentral. Lineage: Bacteria; Bacillati; Bacillota; Bacilli; Lactobacillales; Lactobacillaceae.
AAACCUGCACAUAAGGGCCUCGAACCUAAACGACCAAAGCCCUGUCGUUUAGGUUCGAGGCCGCUUAUGCUCCAGUUUCUAA